CCUACGGGUGGCAGCAGUAGGGAAUAUUCGGCAAUGGGGGGAACCCUGACCGAGCAACGCCGCGUGAAGGAAGAAGGAAUUCGGUCGGGACACUUCUGUUAUAAAGGAAGAAAGACGGAUGGAGGAAAUGACAUCCGAGUGACGGUACUUUAUGAGAAAGCCACGGCGAACGACGUGCCAGCAGCCGCGGUAAUACGUAGGUGGGAAGCGUUAUCCGGAAUAAUUGGGCGUAAAGAGGGAGCAGGGGGCAGCAAAGGUCUGUGGUGAAAGACUGAAGCUUAACUUCAGUAAGCCAUAGAAACCGGGCAGCUAGUGUGCAGGAGAGGAUCGUGGAAUUCCAUGUGGAGCGGUGAAAUGCGUAGAUAUAUGGAGGAACACCAGUGGCGAAGGCGACGAUCUGGCCUGCAACUGACGCUCAGUCCCGAAAGCGUGGGGAGCAAAUAGGAUUAGAUACCCUUGUAGUC
RNAcentral lists this ribosomal RNA (464 nucleotides) under uncultured bacterium. Its description in RNAcentral is "partial 16S ribosomal RNA". It matches the Rfam family "Bacterial small subunit ribosomal RNA", at positions 338 to 795 of the family's 1533-position model. The record is from RNAcentral.